Molecule: ribosomal RNA, 328 nt
Filed under: uncultured eukaryote
Lineage: Eukaryota
Description: partial 18S ribosomal RNA
Rfam family: Eukaryotic small subunit ribosomal RNA
Source: RNAcentral
CCCUUAGAUGUCCGGGGCUGCACGCGCGCUACACUGAAGGAAUCAGCGUGCUAAAACCAUUGUCGAAAGGCAUUGGUAAACCCAUUAAAAUCCUACGUGAUUGGGAUCGGGAAUUGCAAUUAUUUCCCUUGAACGAGGAAUUCCCAGUAAGUGUGGGUCAUAAGCUCGCGUUGAUUACGUCCCUGCCCUUUGUACACACCGCCCGUCGCUGCCCGGGACUGAGCCGUUUCGAGAAAAGCGGGGACUGCUGCUGUCGGGGCUUUCGGGCCUUGGCUUCGGUGGAAACCGCUUUAAUCGCAGUGACUUGAACCGGGCAAAANUCGUANCA